GGCAGCCCAGCCCUUCCCUCUUCCUAAGACGCCCUUGUGUGGGGUGAGGGCGUCUCUGAACACUGGCGGCGGUGGAAGAGCAGAAAUGGCAACUGUCAGUUCCAUCCGCAAAACAAGCAUUUCAUCAACAGCCCACUUGAGGCGCCUACGCGGAACUGGCCACUGUGCUUGCCCUGGGGGAUGGGCAGUCUCUGAGGGCAGAAAGAAACUCUUAUCCAGGAGAUGGAGACCCUCUUACUGUCGUCGAGAAUGAGCAUCUCUUGGAGUCUGUGUAUGCGAUGGAAGCACUGAAAGGAAGGGAUUAUUAACUACAAGCUUUUGUUAUUCUGUAAUUUGGAUGGAGCAUUUGAGUUUAACGAGGUGAGCUUCCAUGCUUGGGGAACCAGAAUGCUUCUACAUGCAACCGAGCAGAGCCCUGAGCUCCUUGAGGACAAAGCUCCUUUGUUCAGGAUCUCACUCUGCAUCCUUCAUUUGGCUGUUAAUUUGCAUCCUUUAUCAUAUCCUGUAAUAAACUGGUAA
Molecule: long non-coding RNA, 519 nt
Organism: Lynx canadensis (Canada lynx)
Lineage: Eukaryota; Metazoa; Chordata; Mammalia; Carnivora; Felidae
Exons: 4
Source: RefSeq, a predicted model, not a curated record